RNAcentral lists this ribosomal RNA (433 nucleotides) under uncultured bacterium. RNAcentral describes it as "partial 16S ribosomal RNA". It matches the Rfam family "Bacterial small subunit ribosomal RNA", at positions 29 to 507 of the family's 1533-position model. The record is from RNAcentral.
AACGAACGCUGGCGGCAUGCCUAACACAUGCAAGUCGAACGAGACCUUCGGGUCUAGUGGCGCACGGGUGCGUAACGCGUGGGAACCUGCCCUUAGGUUCGGAAUAACUCCCCGAAAGGGGUGCUAAUACCGGAUAAUGUCUUCGGACCAAAGAUUUAUCGCCUUUGGAUGGGCCCGCGUUGGAUUAGCUAGUUGGUAGGGUAAAAGCCUACCAAGGCGACGAUCCAUAGCUGGUCUGAGAGGAUGAUCAGCCACACUGGGACUGAGACACGGCCCAGACUCCUACGGGAGGCAGCAGUAGGGAAUAUUGGACAAUGGGCGAAAGCCUGAUCCAGCAAUGCCGCGUGAGUGAUGAAGGCCUUAGGGUUGUAAAGCUCUUUUACCCGGGACGAUAAUGACAGUACCGGGAGAAUAAGCUCCGGCUAACUCCGUG